GGGCCCGCACAAGCGGUGGAGCAUGUGGUUUAAUUCGAUGAUACGCGAGGAACCUUACCAGGGCUUAAAUGUUAGGUGACAGAUCUAGAAAUAGAUUUUUCUUCGGACACUUAACAAGGUGCUGCAUGGUUGUCGUCAGCUCGUGCCGUGAGGUGUCAGGUUAAGUCCUAUAACGAGCGCAACCCCUGUUGUUAGUUGCCAGCGAGUAAUGUCGGGAACUCUAGCAAGACUGCCAGUGCAAACUGUGAGGAAGGUGGGGAUGACGUCAAAUCAUCACGGCCCUUACGUCCUGGCUACACACGUGCUACAUUGGGCGAGACAAUGAGAUGCAAAUCUGUGAAGACUAGCU
RNAcentral lists this ribosomal RNA (349 nucleotides) under uncultured bacterium. Its description in RNAcentral is "bacterial SSU rRNA". It matches the Rfam family "Bacterial small subunit ribosomal RNA", at positions 917 to 1269 of the family's 1533-position model. The record is from RNAcentral.